Molecule: non-coding RNA, 301 nt
Organism: Pelobates cultripes (western spadefoot toad)
Lineage: Eukaryota; Metazoa; Chordata; Amphibia; Anura; Pelobatidae
Source: the annotation of a GenBank genome assembly
GUCGUAGUGUGAGGUGUAUAUGUGGUCGAUGCGGGAGUAUGAGUUGUGUGGGUGGGAAUAGAAAGUGAAGUCUCGGGCGUCUGGGUGGUGGGCCCUCCAGCAGUCGACCAGUCGGUGGUCCCGGAGUAGGGAUUUGAUGCCUUGCAGUUGUUGGUUGGGGAUAUGCGAGGUGCCCGUUGAGGUGUCCCAUGUCGGUUCUAAUGCGACAUUAAAGUCCCCCCCCAGUAUGAGAGUCCCCUCUUUGAACGCCUGGAGCUUGUGGAGUGUUUGUUUGAGGAAGCGGUAGUGUCGUGUGUUUGGG